This 252-nucleotide ribosomal RNA is filed under the name uncultured bacterium. RNAcentral's name for it is "partial 16S ribosomal RNA". It matches the Rfam family "Bacterial small subunit ribosomal RNA", at positions 525 to 776 of the family's 1533-position model. The record is from RNAcentral.
ACGAAGGGGGCAAGCGUUGUUCGGAAUUACUGGGCGUAAAGGGCGUGUAGGCGGUUUAAUCAGUCAGAGGUGAAAUCCCUGGGCUCAACCCAGGAAUUGCCUUUGAUACUGUUAGACUAGAGUUCGGGAGAGGAUAGUGGAAUUCCCAGUGUAGAGGUGAAAUUCGUAGAUAUUGGGAAGAACACCAGUGGCGAAGGCGGCUAUCUGGACCGAUACUGACGCUGAGGCGCGAAAGCGUGGGGAGCAAACAGG